GGGCAGUCAUCGCCGAGUCCCCGUACGGCGCGAGCCAGGGGAGCCGGGGACCCACAUUGUGCAGUCCCUGGGGUGAAUCGGACGCCCGCGCGUGCCGCGAGGGGGCCCGUAGGAGACCUUCCUGCUCCGAACCCGUCAGCUAACCCGGUAGGCGAGAAGGAAGGAAAG
This 168-nucleotide small RNA is filed under the name Streptomyces sp. RNAcentral's name for it is "c-di-AMP sequence". It matches the Rfam family "c-di-AMP riboswitch aptamer (ydaO/yuaA leader)". From Rfam's summary of the family: This family represents a conserved RNA structure found upstream of the ydaO and yuaA genes in Bacillus subtilis and related genes in other bacteria. Lineage: Bacteria; Bacillati; Actinomycetota; Actinomycetes; Kitasatosporales; Streptomycetaceae. The record is from RNAcentral. RNAcentral also lists the same sequence under 1 other name.